AAUUUAUUUUAAUUUAACUUUUAUAUUUUUUAUUAAAAUUUAAUAAAAAUGAUAAUAAAUUAAAAACACAUAUUUAUAUUAAAGAAAAAAAUUUAAGCUCCUUAUGUUCAUGUUAGUAUAUAGGGGGUCAAAUGGUUAUAAUCUCAAACCUAUCUCUAUUUCUUCUUCUCAUCACCCACUCUCUCUCUCGCUCUCUAUCUCUCUCUAUAACUUGUUCUCGGUGCAUACCCAUCUCCAUCUCUCAGGUUAUGUUUGUUUCACCAUAAGUAGGGAGGGGGGAAGUGAUUUUCGGUAAAAACUAAUCACUUUCGCUGUUUGGAAACUUAAUUACAGUAAUUUUUUGGGUUACUCUCUCUCUCCCUCUCUCCUUUCCCCUCCCCUCUCAACUCAACAUUCAUCUCUCUUUUUCUCUGCAAACACCAAAAAAAAAAAAAAUCUAUCUUUUUUUCCCCUUCACCCCGGAUCAUUGCCAAGUCAACUCCUCCAUCUCCUUCGUCCCUAGAUCAUUUCGAGCCCACUCCUCCAUCUGUGGUGACUAUCAGGUUCAUAUUGUUCAUCUUCUUUUUUUUUCACAUUUUGCUUCUUCAACCCUUUCCCCUCUCUCUCACCACUCAUCUUCUUCCAUCUCAGAUCUCGUAUUCCAUCCCCUUCCAUUUCGCCAGUGACAAGAUUUGCAAAUAGAUAUUUUAUUUUGUUUAUUUUUUUAAUUUACUGCAGUUUUUAAUUUUUUUUAUUUACCGUAAUUUUUAUAUUUUUGCUCUGAUUUUUAAAAGAUUUAAGAUUUAGUAUUAUAACUAAUCAUUUUUCUUUUUCUUUUUUUUGGUUUAUAGUAUACACAUGUGUGAUCAUAAUCUUACACUAUUUAAAUUGAGAGAACAUUCCAUACACGUGGCAAUCGGGGAGGUGUUUUGAUACACGUGGCAAUCAGGGGCGUUCCCCCCUCUCUCCCAAAACCCCUUCCCUAAACCGACCGCACCCUCUCUACCCAAACCCCUUCCCUAAACCGACCGCACCUCUCCAAACCUAUUCCCUGAACCGACCGCACUUCUCUCUCUCUUUUGCCGUCUCUCUGCCUCCUUCUCUCUCUCCUCCUCCCUACAUCUCUCUCUACCCUCCUGAACCGAACGCCAGCCCUCUCCCCCGAAACCCUUCGCUCCCUCUCACUCUCUCCUAAACCGAACACCCAUCUCUCUCCUUCUCUCUCUCUCGCGCCGUCUCUCUACAUCCCUCUCUCUCUUCGCCCCGCUCUCUAUCUCUACCAUCUAUGCUCCUCUGUCACACUCAACCGAUCGACCCUCUCUCUCUCUUCGGUCCUGGGCUCUGCUGCUCUCUCUCUACCAUCUCUGGUCCUCUCUUACGCUCAACCGAUCGCCCCUCUCUUUCUCUCUCUUCGAUCCUGGAGAGAACAGUGUGGAUCCUCUC
Molecule: long non-coding RNA, 1422 nt
Filed under: Ananas comosus (pineapple)
Lineage: Eukaryota; Viridiplantae; Streptophyta; Magnoliopsida; Poales; Bromeliaceae
Description: long non-coding RNA (ACOM_LNC030256)
Source: RNAcentral